AAAAACCAGUUUUUUGACAAGUGCAAAAAUUGGUUGAAAUUAUCUCGCGCCGAUUUUGCGUACCCGAGUCAGUGGAGAGCUUUUGUUCGGAAAAAUGUGAUGAUAAGACACUAAAAAUGCAGACAAUGUUAAAGAAGAAGACACUAAUACAUUCGUCUUGAAAAGAAAAGUGGAAAAGUUUUAAACAAAAUACUCUAUCUAGUAAACGAACUUUAAAUUAAAGUGAAA
Bradysia coprophila is the source of this 228-nucleotide long non-coding RNA. NCBI's taxonomy places the organism in Eukaryota, Metazoa, Arthropoda, Insecta, Diptera, Sciaridae. The record is from RefSeq and is a predicted model, not a curated record.